Molecule: ribosomal RNA, 536 nt
Filed under: fungal sp. LS4-2009a
Lineage: Eukaryota; Fungi
Description: eukaryotic LSU rRNA
Rfam family: 5.8S ribosomal RNA (bases 167-320)
Source: RNAcentral
GUGAACAUACCUCGCGUUGCCUCGGCAGGUGGCGUCUCGCCCCGUAGAGUCCUACCCUGUAAGACGUUACCCUGUAAGACCCUACACGGUAGACGACCCUGCCGACGGCCCCCGAAACUCUGUUUUUAUAGCAUUAGACUUCUGAAAAGAUAACUAAAUAAGUUAAAACUUUCAACAACGGAUCUCUUGGUUCUGGCAUCGAUGAAGAACGCAGCGAAAUGCGAUAAGUAAUGUGAAUUGCAGAAUUCAGUGAAUCAUCGAAUCUUUGAACGCACAUUGCGCCCACCAGUAUUCUGGUGGGCAUGCCUGUUCGAGCGUCAUUUCAACCCUUAAGCCCCUGUUGCUUAGCGUUGGGAGCCUACUGGACCUUGUCCGGUAGCUCUCCAAAGUCAGUGGCGGAGCCGGUUCGCACUCCAGACGUAGUAGCUUUUACACGUCGCCUGUAGCGCGGGCCGGUCCCCUGCCGUAAAACACCCCAAUUCUUAUAGGUUGACCUCGGAUCAGGUAGGAAUACCCGCUGAACUUAAGCAUAUCAA